Molecule: unclassified non-coding RNA, 312 nt
Filed under: Galerina hygrophila
Lineage: Eukaryota; Fungi; Basidiomycota; Agaricomycetes; Agaricales; Galerinaceae
Description: partial internal transcribed spacer region
Rfam family: Eukaryotic small subunit ribosomal RNA (bases 1-46)
Source: RNAcentral
AAGUCGUAACAAGGUUUCCGUAGGUGAACCUGCGGAAGGAUCAUUAUUGAAUGAACUUGGCGUGGUUGUCGCUGGCCCUCUCGGGGGUAUGUGCACGCCCGUCAUCUUUAUCUUUCCACCUGUGCACACUUUGUAGACUUGAAUAGUAUUUUCUGAGGCAACUCAGUCGGGAGGAUUGCUGGUAUUUAUCAGCUCUCCUUGCAUUAUUCAAGCCUAUGUUUUUCAUAUACCCCAAAAAUGUAACAGAAUGUAUCAUUGGGCCUUGUGCCUAUAAACUAUAUACAACUUUCAGCAACGGAUCUCUUGGCUCUC